AGCGAUUUACUUCGGUAAAGAGCGGCGGACGGGUGAGUAACGCGUGGGUAACCUACCCUGUACACACGGAUAACAUACCGAAAGGUAUGCUAAUACGGGAUAAUAUAUUUGAGAGGCAUCUCUUGAAUAUCAAAGGUGAGCCAGUACAGGAUGGACCCGCGUCUGAUUAGCUAGUUGGUAAGGUAACGGCUUACCAAGGCGACGAUCAGUAGCCGACCUGAGAGGGUGAUCGGCCACAUUGGAACUGAGACACGGUCCAAACUCCUACGGGAGGCAGCAGGGGGGAAUAUUGCACAAUGGGCGAAAGCCUGAUGCAGCAACGCCGCGGGAGUGAUGAAGGCCUUCGGGUCGUACAUCCUUCUCCUCACGGACUAACACGACCGUCAUUAGCGAGAACGCCCCCGCAAA
RNAcentral lists this ribosomal RNA (408 nucleotides) under Clostridioides difficile. Its description in RNAcentral is "bacterial SSU rRNA". It matches the Rfam family "Bacterial small subunit ribosomal RNA", at positions 65 to 500 of the family's 1533-position model. The record is from RNAcentral. Lineage: Bacteria; Bacillati; Bacillota; Clostridia; Peptostreptococcales; Peptostreptococcaceae.